Long non-coding RNA from Sinocyclocheilus anshuiensis, 126 nucleotides. RefSeq lists it as uncharacterized. Lineage: Eukaryota; Metazoa; Chordata; Actinopteri; Cypriniformes; Cyprinidae. The record is from RefSeq and is a predicted model, not a curated record. The transcript has 3 exons.
GUGCCCACCGCGCGCACACCUGACUCCCCUUUGAGUGACAUCCCCAGCAGUGCGUUUUCCUGAGUGUAGAUUGCUGUCUGAUUGUUGUAACAGCUACAUACACCACAAAGGCUCUUUUAAGAGCCA